UAAGGAAUAUUGGACAAUGGGGGCAACUCUGAUCCAGCCAUGCCGCGUGAAGGAAUAAGGCCCUAUGGGUUGAAAACUUCUUUUAGACGGGACAAAACCCUUUUACGUGUAAAGGGUUGAUGGUACUGUAAGAAUAAGCAUGGGCUAGCUUCGUGCCAGCAGCCGCGGUAAUACGAAGGAUGCAAGCGUUGUCCGGAAUUAUUGGGUUUAAAGGUUGCGUAGGCGGACUAAUAAGUUAGUGGUGAAAGCCUGCAGCUUAACUGCAGAAUUGCCAUUGAUACUGUGAGUCUUGAGUACAGUUGAGGUAGGCGGAAUGUGUCAUGUAGCGGUGAAAUGCUUAGAUAUGACACAGAACACCGAUUGCGAAGGCAGCUUGCUAAGCUGUAACUGACGCUGAGGCACGAAAGCGUGGGGAGCAAACA
Molecule: ribosomal RNA, 422 nt
Filed under: uncultured bacterium
Lineage: Bacteria
Description: bacterial SSU rRNA
Rfam family: Bacterial small subunit ribosomal RNA
Source: RNAcentral